This 497-nucleotide ribosomal RNA is filed under the name uncultured bacterium. Its description in RNAcentral is "partial 16S ribosomal RNA". It matches the Rfam family "Bacterial small subunit ribosomal RNA", at positions 28 to 507 of the family's 1533-position model. The record is from RNAcentral.
GAUGAACGCUGGCGGCGUGCCUAAUACAUGCAAGUCGAGCGAACAGAUGAGGAGCUUGCUCCUCUGACGUUAGCGGCGGACGGGUGAGUAACACGUGGAUAACCUACCUAUAAGACUGGGAUAACUUCGGGAAACCGGAGCUAAUACCGGAUAAUAUAUUGAACCGCAUGGUUCAAUAGUGAAAGACGGUUUUGCUGUCACUUUUAGAUGGAUCCGCGCCGCAUUAGCUAGUUGGUAAGGUAACGGCUUACCAAGGCAACGAUGCGUAGCCGACCUGAGAGGGUGAUCGGCCACACUGGAACUGAGACACGGUCCAGACUCCUACGGGAGGCAGCAGUAGGGAAUCUUCCGCAAAGGGCGAAAGCCUGACGGAGCAACGCCGCGUGAGUGAUGAAGGUCUUCGGAUCGUAAAACUCUGUUAUUAGGGAAGAACAAAUGUGUAAGUAACUAUGCACGUCUUGACGGUACCUAAUCAGAAAGCCACGGCUAACUACGUG